Molecule: small RNA, 1089 nt
Filed under: Xanthomonas sp. V26
Lineage: Bacteria; Pseudomonadati; Pseudomonadota; Gammaproteobacteria; Lysobacterales; Lysobacteraceae
Description: bacterial LSU rRNA
Rfam family: Bacterial large subunit ribosomal RNA (bases 644-1089)
Source: RNAcentral
AUGCGCAUGUAUGCGAGAUCUGGUGCACACGGUGCGACAGGACGCUUAACCUUCGGGAGGGCGCUUGCCACGGUGUGGCCGAUGACUGGGGUGAAGUCGUAACAAGGUAGCCGUAUCGGAAGGUGCGGCUGGAUCACCUCCUUUUGAGCAUGACGUCAUCGUCCUUGCGGGCGUCCUCACAAAUUACCUGCAUUCAGAGAUGCGUAUCGGCACAGGCCGGUAUGCGAAAGUCCCAUCAUGGGGCCUUAGCUCAGCUGGGAGACCACCUUGCUUUGCAAGCAGGGGGUCGUCGGUUUCUUCCCCCAGGGGCCUCCACCUUUUGAGUAAAACCUUUUUGGGGUCUGGUAGCUCAGGUGGUUAGAGCGCACCCCUGAUAAGGGUGAGGUCGGUGGUUCGAGUCCUCCCAGACCCACCACUCUGAAUGUAGUGCACACUUAAGAAUUUAUAUGGCUCAGCGUUGAGGCUGAGACAUGUUCUUUUAUAACUUGUGACGUAGCGAGCGUUUGAGAUAUCUAUCUAAACGUGUCGUUGAGGCUAAGGCGGGGACUUCGAGUCCCUAAAUAAUUGAGUCGUAUGUUCGCGUUGGUGGCUUUGUACCCCCACACAACACGGCAUGUGACCCUGAGGCAACUUGGGGUUAUAUGGUCAAGCGAAUAAACCGCACACGGUGGAUGCCUAGGCGGUCAGAGGCGAUGAAGGGACGUGGUAGCCUGCCGAAAGUGUCGGGGAGCUGGCACAAAGCUUUGAUCCGGCAAUUAUCCGAAUGGGGAAACCCACUUGCUUCGGCGGUAUCCUGCAGUGAAUUCAUAGCUGCUGGAAGCGAACCCGGGGAACUGAAAUAUCUAGUUACCGGAGGAAAAAAAUCAACCUAAUUCCCUUAGUUGUUGACGAGCCAACCGGGUACAGCCCUUAAGCUGGAAUGCCUUGCAAAACAAUUUGAAAGAUUGGCCAUAAAGGAAUAGCCCUGCUUUAAAGGGCACCUCCAUGAAUACAAUAGGCGGGCACUGAACACUGUCUGAUAGUGGCCAUCUUCAGGCUAAAUCCUUGCCACAGAUUGAACGUUCCUUGGGUAGUGAACACCACUCCCUC